GGGCCCGCACAAGCGGAGGAACAUGUGGUUUAAUUCGAUGAUACGCGAGGAACCUUACCCGGGCUUGAAUUGCAUCUGAAUAUGCCGGAAACGGUAUAGCUAGCAAUAGCAGAUGUGAAGGUGCUGCAUGGUUGUCGUCAGCUCGUGCCGUGAGGUGUCGGCUUAAGUGCCAUAACGAGCGCAACCCUCAUCAUUAGUUACUAACAGGUCAAGCUGAGGACUCUAAUGAGACUGCCGGCGUAAGCUGUGAGGAAGGUGGGGAUGACGUCAAAUCAGCACGGCCCUUACGUCCGGGGCGACACACGUGUUACAAUGGGGGGGACAGCAGGCUGCGAAGUGGUGACACCGAGCGAAUCCUCAAACCCUCUCUCAGUUCGGAUCGAAGUCUGCAACCCGACUUCGUGAAGCUGGAUUCGCUAGUAAUCGCGCAUCAGCCAUGGCGCGGUGAAUACGUUCCCGGGCCUU
RNAcentral lists this ribosomal RNA (465 nucleotides) under uncultured bacterium. RNAcentral describes it as "bacterial SSU rRNA". It matches the Rfam family "Bacterial small subunit ribosomal RNA", at positions 917 to 1382 of the family's 1533-position model. The record is from RNAcentral.